CCCAAAGCUCCAACAGCUGUGUUUCCCGCUCGGAAGGAAAGAGACCAAAUAAAGCAGCAGGACGAAUUACGUGUGCAGAAAAGCGCAGCGUGGGAUUCCGAGUCCAAAGACUGCCAGAGACUUGCCACCCUUCAGCAUUACUCAGUGCCCCGGGAAGUGCUGGGGGUGGAGAGAUGGCAGGGGGCUGGGAGCGUAGGGCCUCGUUGCACCCAUCUCUCCAUUGGCUUCAGCGUGUUCCGUCUCGCAGCCGCAGCCCGGGAGGCAGGGAUGGGGCAUGCCAGGUGCCCUGGAGGGGCCGAGGCCGGGGUUGGGUUUCUAGGGAUCUGGGGCUGGAGCAGGAGUUUCCACCCAAGCCAUCAUGAGCUAUCAAGAACCACAGGGCCAGGAAAAGGACCACCAGGAAAGCCAAAUGCAGAGCCUCCAAACACGCAUCUCUGGCUGGGAAGCAUCAAGUGUUAUUAGGUUUGGGGGCGAAAAGAAGUCUCCAGCAAAAUAUUUCAAAAUCCAGAUUCAAGAGAGGCAACUCACAACUUAAAAAUUGCCCAGAUAUCUGCCCUCCGAGGAUCAGCAUUGCAAAAGUGGAUGUUAAAAGUCAGACGAGGAAAUGGAAAAGCAGCAGCUCAAGAACCAGACUGACGUGCAAAUGCUGCCAUCCGAUCCAAGGAGUGUGUGCCCCGGGAGCCGUCUGCCAGGCUUUGUUCAGGUCUGCCAUGGGGGGGGACAGUGCUGCUGCUGUUGUUAUCUGGUCAUCGGACACGAUCACUCACCACAUUCCCCAACGGGGCUUAUAGACAACAAAGGGGCCGAGGUAGUUUUCAAGGGCUGCGUGGCAACAGGGUGUCAUUCUUCCCAUAUAAAGGUGACGUUACUGGUCUGCAGUCCCGAGCAAGAAGCCUCAUCAAGCCCUGGAAAGGAAUUGGCAUGGAUCCUUCUCCAAGCUCCUCCCCCUGUAUCUCUCCAUUUGCCCCAAAACAGUGGGGCCCAUUUGCAGGUCAGCUGGAGAAAUGGAGAGGACAGCCCCAGACCUGAGAUGAAGAGAACAAUCCAGCAGGCAAGGGGAAGGAGCACACCUCGGCAGCACGGGGCCUGCGCCCCACCCGCAUCCACUGACUCUCCCUCACUGAGCUCUGGACUCAGCUGACGUUAGAUGGAAGCUGGGCCCCCAGUGAAGAGACUGAGGGGAGCAGGAGGUGAGAGGCUGCUCAGAGACAUUGGAGCGUGGGCAGAUGGAGAAAAUUCAGGGAGGACUGAAAAUGGUCCCCGUCUUCACACUAGCAGGCCUGGAUUCUGGGUUCCAGCGGCAGAACCUUGCCUUGAGGGCUAAGGUGACCAGAAAAGGGAGUAGUGGCCCCAGGGAGUGGAAGACAACCGCAGGAAGACAGAUGUGCAGGGCCAGGUGACUGAGAGGCAGGGAGGGGGAACAGGGUGGGGGGAAUGAAGAGGAGAGAUGGCAAAUACAAUGCAGCAAGUGUCCCACAGCCCCAAAUCUGUGCCCUGUGUCCACACACAUGUAUGGCUUCAUCGGGUCUUCCAGUCUGUGCCCACACAGCUCUAGGGGGCCCUUAAAUGCCAUGAUCUAUGCAAGUCACAGCCACUUGGGUUGUGCAGUGAACAGCCUGGGCAGCCCCUCGCCACACCCCUGGGACGCAUCCAUCCCCACUGGAUGCUCUCCUCCAACUCUAUCUCUUUCACCUUGGCAGCCUCCACCCUAACCUUGCCCCUGACAUUGAGACAAAGGUAUAGAAUGAUCACGAGAGACGUGGCAAAGCUCCAAGAAAGGUAAACGGCCCCCAAAGGCUCUUCUGAAACACCAAGCUCCAGGCCUGCUCUCUCUCCUAUUAAAGGGACUGCGGCCCCACAUU
Long non-coding RNA from Leopardus geoffroyi (Geoffroy's cat), 1862 nucleotides. RefSeq lists it as uncharacterized. NCBI's taxonomy places the organism in Eukaryota, Metazoa, Chordata, Mammalia, Carnivora, Felidae. The transcript is spliced from 4 exons. The record is from RefSeq and is a predicted model, not a curated record.